UACGGAGGGUGCGAGCGUUGUCCGGAAUCACUGGGCGUAAAGGGCGCGUAGGCGGCAUGCCAAGCGUGUGGUGAAAGCCCGGGGCUCAACCCCGGGUCGGCCGUGCGGACUGGCGUGCUCGAGCACUGUAGGGGCGGGUGGAAUUCCGGGUGUAGCGGUGGAAUGCGUAGAGAUCGGAAGGAACACCAGUGGCGAAGGCGACUAUCUGGACAGAUACUGACACUGAGGCGCGAGAGCGUGGGUAGCAAACAGG
Molecule: ribosomal RNA, 253 nt
Filed under: uncultured bacterium
Lineage: Bacteria
Description: partial 16S ribosomal RNA
Rfam family: Bacterial small subunit ribosomal RNA
Source: RNAcentral